RNAcentral lists this ribosomal RNA (412 nucleotides) under uncultured bacterium. Its description in RNAcentral is "bacterial SSU rRNA". It matches the Rfam family "Bacterial small subunit ribosomal RNA", at positions 28 to 436 of the family's 1533-position model. The record is from RNAcentral.
GAUGAACGCUAGCGGCAGGCUUAAUACAUGCAAGUCGAACGGGAUUUAAGGUAGUAAUACUUUAAUGAGAGUGGCGCACGGGUGCGUAACACGUAUGCAACCUACCUUUAACUGGAAGAUAGCCCCGGGAAAUCGGGAUUAAUAUUUCAUAACAAUGCGCUGUGGCAUCACAGCACAUUUAAAGCUCCGGCGGUUAAAGAUGGGCAUGCGCGACAUUAGCUAGUUGGUGAGGUAACGGCUCACCAAGGCUACGAUGUCUAGGGGUCCUGAGAGGGUUAUCCCCCACACUGGUACUGAGACACGGACCAGACUCCUACGGGAGGCAGCAGUAAGGAAUAUUGGUCAAUGGGCGCAAGCCUGAACCAGCCAUGCCGCGUGCAGGAAGACGGCCCUAUGGGUUGUAAACUGCUUU